RNAcentral lists this ribosomal RNA (503 nucleotides) under uncultured bacterium. RNAcentral's name for it is "partial 16S ribosomal RNA". It matches the Rfam family "Bacterial small subunit ribosomal RNA", at positions 30 to 523 of the family's 1533-position model. The record is from RNAcentral.
AUUGAACGCAGGCGGCAGGCUUAACACAUGCAAGUCGAGCGGAGUGAUGGUGCUUGCACUAUCACUUAGCGGCGGACGGGUGAGUAAUGCUUAGGAAUCUGCCUAUUAGUGGGGGACAACAUCUCGAAAGGGAUGCUAAUACCGCAUACGUCCUACGGGAGAAAGCAGGGGAUCACUUGUGACCUUGCGCUAAUAGAUGAGCCUAAGUCGGAUUAGCUAGUUGGUGGGGUAAAGGCCUACCAAGGCGACGAUCUGUAGCGGGUCUGAGAGGAUGAUCCGCCACACUGGGACUGAGACACGGCCCAGACUCCUACGGGAGGCAGCAGUGGGGAAUAUUGGACAAUGGGGGGAACCCUGAUCCAGCCAUGCCGCGUGUGUAAAGAAGGCCUUAUGGUUGUAAAGCACUUUAAGCGAGGAGGAGGCUCUUUUGGUUAAUACCCAAGAUGAGUGGACGUUACUCGCAGAAUAAGCACCGGCUAACUCUGUGCCAGCCGCCGCAGUAA